RNAcentral lists this ribosomal RNA (253 nucleotides) under uncultured bacterium. RNAcentral's name for it is "partial 16S ribosomal RNA". It matches the Rfam family "Bacterial small subunit ribosomal RNA", at positions 524 to 776 of the family's 1533-position model. The record is from RNAcentral.
UACGUAGGGAGCAAGCGUUGUUCGGAUUUACUGGGCGUAAAGGGCGCGUAGGCGGCGCGGUAAGUCACUUGUGAAAUCUCUGAGCUUAACUCAGAACGGCCAAGUGAUACUGCAGUGCUAGAGUGCAGAAGGGGCAAUCGGAAUUCUCGGUGUAGCGGUGAAAUGCGUAGAUAUCAAGAGGAACACCUGAGGUGAAGACGGGUUGCUAGGCUGACACUGACGCUGAGGCGCGAAAGCCAGGGGAGCAAACGGG